Long non-coding RNA from Amblyraja radiata (thorny skate), 378 nucleotides. RefSeq lists it as uncharacterized. The transcript is spliced from 3 exons. The record is from RefSeq and is a predicted model, not a curated record. NCBI's taxonomy places the organism in Eukaryota, Metazoa, Chordata, Chondrichthyes, Rajiformes, Rajidae.
GGAGAUCCUCUGGAUGUUGCAAGUGGAGAGGGUACUCUGGGUGCUGUGGAGGUCGGGGCUGUUUCGGAUGGCAAUCCACUUUCCGAAUCGGGGGUGCCAGUGUACCACGGGCCCUGGGGGCGCCUCUUGUUUUUUCUUCUCCAGGCCCAUACUUGGAGGGUGAUGGGAGAGUGCAGGAGCCCAGCCAUUCAGUGGGCUGCUUGUUGCAGUCAGGGGAUUCGGGACCUUUCCCCGGCAUUGAUCCUGGGGGUGGUGUCAUGCCGGAGGAGGGGGAGAGUGACGAGGCCAGUUUGUGUAGUGGGGUCAGUGAAUUUUCAGAGAGUUCUGGUCUUUCGAUUUCUGACAACGACCUUGAGCGCUGCAGUGGCAAGCUGGUUG